UACGUAGGGUGCUAGCGUUGUCCGGAAUUAUUGGGCGUAAAGGGCUCGUAGGCGGUUUGUCGCGUCGGGAGUGAAAUCAUCUGGCUUAACUGGGUGCUUGCUUUCGAUACGGGCAGACUAGAGGUAUGCAGGGGAGAACGGAAUUCCUGGUGUAGCGGUGAAAUGCGCAGAUAUCAGGAGGAACACCGGUGGCGAAGGCGGUUCUCUGGGCAUGAUCUGACGCUGAGGAGCGAAAGUGUGGGGAGCGAACAGG
RNAcentral lists this ribosomal RNA (253 nucleotides) under uncultured bacterium. Its description in RNAcentral is "partial 16S ribosomal RNA". It matches the Rfam family "Bacterial small subunit ribosomal RNA", at positions 524 to 776 of the family's 1533-position model. The record is from RNAcentral.